RNAcentral lists this small nuclear RNA (104 nucleotides) under Prolemur simus (greater bamboo lemur). Lineage: Eukaryota; Metazoa; Chordata; Mammalia; Primates; Lemuridae. The record is from RNAcentral.
UUGCUUUGGCAGCAGCACAUGUACUAUAAUUGGAACGAUACAGAGAAGAUUAGCAUGGGCCCUGCAUAAGGAUGACAUGCAAAUUUGUGAAGUUCCAUAUUUAA